This 1397-nucleotide ribosomal RNA is filed under the name Escherichia coli. Its description in RNAcentral is "partial 23S ribosomal RNA". It matches the Rfam family "Bacterial large subunit ribosomal RNA", at positions 612 to 1994 of the family's 2925-position model. Lineage: Bacteria; Pseudomonadati; Pseudomonadota; Gammaproteobacteria; Enterobacterales; Enterobacteriaceae. The record is from RNAcentral.
AUAAUGGGUCAGCGACUUAUAUUCUGUAGCAAGGUUAACCGAAUAGGGGAGCCGAAGGGAAACCGAGUCUUAACUGGGCGUUAAGUUGCAGGGUAUAGACCCGAAACCCGGUGAUCUAGCCAUGGGCAGGUUGAAGGUUGGGUAACACUAACUGGAGGACCGAACCGACUAAUGUUGAAAAAUUAGCGGAUGACUUGUGGCUGGGGGUGAAAGGCCAAUCAAACCGGGAGAUAGCUGGUUCUCCCCGAAAGCUAUUUAGGUAGCGCCUCGUGAAUUCAUCUCCGGGGGUAGAGCACUGUUUCGGCAAGGGGGUCAUCCCGACUUACCAACCCGAUGCAAACUGCGAAUACCGGAGAAUGUUAUCACGGGAGACACACGGCGGGUGCUAACGUCCGUCGUGAAGAGGGAAACAACCCAGACCGCCAGCUAAGGUCCCAAAGUCAUGGUUAAGUGGGAAACGAUGUGGGAAGGCCCAGACAGCCAGGAUGUUGGCUUAGAAGCAGCCAUCAUUUAAAGAAAGCGUAAUAGCUCACUGGUCGAGUCGGCCUGCGCGGAAGAUGUAACGGGGCUAAACCAUGCACCGAAGCUGCGGCAGCGACGCUGAUGCGUUGUUGGGUAGGGGAGCGUUCUGUAAGCCUGUGAAGGUGUGCUGUGAGGCAUGCUGGAGGUAUCAGAAGUGCGAAUGCUGACAUAAGUAACGAUAAAGCGGGUGAAAAGCCCGCUCGCCGGAAGACCAAGGGUUCCUGUCCAACGUUAAUCGGGGCAGGGUGAGUCGACCCCUAAGGCGAGGCCGAAAGGCGUAGUCGAUGGGAAACAGGUUAAUAUUCCUGUACUUGGUGUUACUGCGAAGGGGGGACGGAGAAGGCUAUGUUGGCCGGGCGACGGUUGUCCCGGUUUAAGCGUGUAGGCUGGUUUUCCAGGCAAAUCCGGAAAACUAAGGCUGAGGCGUGAUGACGAGGCACUACGGUGCUGAAGCAACAAAUGCCCUGCUUCCAGGAAAAGCCUCUAAGCAUCAGGUAACAUCAAAUCGUACCCCAAACCGACACAGGUGGUCAGGUAGAGAAUACCAAGGCGCUUGAGAGAACUCGGGUGAAGGAACUAGGCAAAAUGGUGCCGUAACUUCGGGAGAAGGCACGCUGAUAUGUAGGUGAAGUCCCUCGCGGAUGGAGCUGAAAUCAGUCGAAGAUACCAGCUGGCUGCAACUGUUUAUUAAAAACACAGCACUGUGCAAACACGAAAGUGGACGUAUACGGUGUGACGCCUGCCCGGUGCCGGAAGGUUAAUUGAUGGGGUCAGCGCAAGCGAAGCUCUUGAUCGAAGCCCCGGUAAACGGCGGCCGUAACUAUAACGGUCCUAAGGUAGCGAAAUUCCUUGUCGGGUAAGUUCCGACCUGCACG